GGAAGUUGCAAAGUACUUUGAAGAGAGAGUUCAAGAGGACGUGAAACCGAUAGGGUGGAAGCAGAUGAAGUUGACGAACGAGUGUUGUACUCAGAAUUACAUCUUGUGUGUAGUUUGUUCUUGCAACCGAUGUGGGCUGGCGUGCUUGGUCAAUGCAUUGUGUCAAGCGUCGAUGGUGACCCUGCGGAGGGAUAUUCAUUCGGCGUAAGGUGCGUGGUAUGGCUAAGUAGUCGCCGGUCUUGAAGUCAGCGCCUCAUCUGACCCGUCUUGAAACACGGACCAAGGAGUGUAGCGUUUACGCAAGUCUUAGAGUGUAUCGAAACUUUGAGGCGUAACGAAAGUAAAGGCAAUUUAAUUUGCUGAAUUGGGAUGCGUCAUCUCUUGUGGAUGGCGUCGGACCAUAGUUUUAUGGCGACUGCUUGCAGUGCUGUGAAAAUAGAGCGUAAAUGAUGCGACCCGAAAGAUGGUGAACUAUGCCUGAGCAGGAUGAAGCCGGAGGAAACUCUGGUGGAAGUCCGAAGCGGUUCUGACGUGCAAAUCGAUCGUC
Molecule: ribosomal RNA, 547 nt
Filed under: Steinernema rarum
Lineage: Eukaryota; Metazoa; Nematoda; Chromadorea; Rhabditida; Steinernematidae
Description: eukaryotic LSU rRNA
Rfam family: Eukaryotic large subunit ribosomal RNA
Source: RNAcentral